RNAcentral lists this ribosomal RNA (377 nucleotides) under Sinotaia aeruginosa. Its description in RNAcentral is "partial 16S rRNA". The record is from RNAcentral. Lineage: Eukaryota; Metazoa; Mollusca; Gastropoda; Architaenioglossa; Viviparidae.
UCAAUUGUCUUAUAAUUGAAGACUGGAAUGAAUGGUUGAACGAAAUUAAAACUGUUUCAUUUAUAUUAAUUAGAAAUUGGUUUUUAAAUGAAGAGAUUUAAAUUUAAUUAAUAGACAAGAAGACCCUAUUGAGCUUUAAAUAACUUUAAAAUUAAAAAUUUAUUAUUAAAGAUUUGAGUUUUAAAUGUUUUUUGGUUGGGGCGACUAAGGAACAGAAAAAGCUUCCUUUAUUUAUUAAAUUGAUAGAUUUUGAUCCAGUAUUAAACUGAUUGACAAAGAUAGUUACCAUAGGGAUAACAGCAUAAUCUUCUUGGAGAGUUCUUAUCAAAAAGGAGGUUUGUGACCUCGAUGUUGGAUUAAAAUAUCCUAAAGGUGUA